Psammomys obesus (fat sand rat) is the source of this 421-nucleotide long non-coding RNA. RefSeq lists it as uncharacterized. Lineage: Eukaryota; Metazoa; Chordata; Mammalia; Rodentia; Muridae. The record is from RefSeq and is a predicted model, not a curated record. The transcript has 3 exons.
CUAGGCUGGAUGAGUGCACGCAAGCCUGGAAGACAAGAUGGGCUCCAGAGGAGGCAAAGACAGAAGGUACAAUGGCCUCCCAGAAGGAAGAAGAACAAACCAGAGCGAGAGACAGUAGGUGUUUAAAUACUGUUGGGGACUAGGACAACUCCUGCUUGCUUGGGAUCCUCAUUCAGCUUCCAUGUGGAUGAUGCUACCUUCAGAAGAAGCAGGGGCAUCUUCCAAGGGGAAGGGAACAAUGUUCCAGAUGUUAAGUCACCACUUGUCAUCGCAGAUCGUCCAGCUGAAUUCACAAUACAACUCAGAGCCUGAAGAGGAAGCUCUCGUGCGAGACAGGGGUGGCCUGGCACCGUGACGGCUUUAAAACCCGGGCUCGUAAAAUAGGAUGGGAAAAUUCAUCUGCGAGUUUUACAGCCUACAA